GAUGAACGCUGGCGGCGUGCCUAAUACAUGCAAGUCGAGCGAACGGACGAGAAGCUUGCUUCUCUGAUGUUAGCGGCGGACGGGAGAGUAACACGUGGAUCACCUACCUAUAAGACUGGGAUAACUUCGGGAAACCGGAGCUAAUACCGGAUAAUCUUUUGAACCGCAUGGUUCAAAAGAGAAAGACGGUCUUGCUGUCACUAAUAGCUGGAUCCGCGCUGCAUUAGCUAGUUGGUAAGGUAACGGCUUACCAAGGCAACGAUGCAUAGCCGACCUGAGAGGGUGGUCGGCCACACGGGAACGGAGACACGGUCCAGACUCCUACGGGAGGCAGCAGUAGGGAAUCUUCCGCAAUGGGCGAAAGCCUGACGGAGCAACGCCGCGUGAGUGAUGAAGGUCUUCGGAUCGUAAAACUCUGUUAUUAGGGAAGAACAUAUGUGGAAGUAACUGUGCACAUCUUGACGGUACCUAAUCAGAAAGCCACGGCUAACUACGUG
RNAcentral lists this ribosomal RNA (497 nucleotides) under uncultured bacterium. RNAcentral describes it as "partial 16S ribosomal RNA". It matches the Rfam family "Bacterial small subunit ribosomal RNA", at positions 28 to 507 of the family's 1533-position model. The record is from RNAcentral.